ACGCACGCUGGCGGCGUGCUUAACACCUGCCAGUCGAGCGGAAAGGCCCUUCGGGGUACUCGAGCGGCGAACGGGUGAGUAACACGUGAGUAAUCUGCCCUUGGCUUUGGGAUAACUACCGGAAACGGUGGCUAAUACCGGAUACGACAACCGUCUGCAUGGGCUGGUUGUGGAAAGUUUUUUCGGCCAGGGAUGUGCUCGCGGCCUAUCAGCUUGUUGGUGGGGUAAUGGCCUACCAAGGCUUCGACGGGUAGCCGGCCUGAGAGGGUGACCGGCCACACUGGGACUGAGACACGGCCCAGACUCCUACGGGAGGCAGCAGUGGGGAAUAUUGGACAAUGGGCGGAAGCCUGAUCCAGCAACGCCGCGUGAGGGAUGACGGCCUUCGGGUUGUAAACCUCUUUCAGUACCGACGAAGCGCCGAUGAUGGUGGUGACGGUAGGUACAGAAGAAGCACCGGCCAACUACGUG
This 471-nucleotide ribosomal RNA is filed under the name uncultured bacterium. RNAcentral's name for it is "partial 16S ribosomal RNA". It matches the Rfam family "Bacterial small subunit ribosomal RNA", at positions 29 to 507 of the family's 1533-position model. The record is from RNAcentral.